UGAGGCAAUCUUAUCCCAGCUUUCUGGGACAAGCCCAAUAAUGACUGAGGGCAAGAACACCUUAACUACCUUGGCUGUGCCGACUCCCAAGAGAACAAAUACUUCCCGAUUUGUCCAAAUCAUGAUUGGAUCAAUUCCAGUCAACCUAUAUCCUACAGAUUCUGUUCUGAUGACUUCCACCAACGAAGCUAGAGAUGAAGGUCAAAAGGACGACUUCGUG
This 220-nucleotide long non-coding RNA is filed under the name Prunus persica (peach). Its description in RNAcentral is "long non-coding RNA (PPER_LNC006377)". The record is from RNAcentral. Lineage: Eukaryota; Viridiplantae; Streptophyta; Magnoliopsida; Rosales; Rosaceae.